RNAcentral lists this unclassified non-coding RNA (3764 nucleotides) under Hevea brasiliensis (rubber tree). Lineage: Eukaryota; Viridiplantae; Streptophyta; Magnoliopsida; Malpighiales; Euphorbiaceae. The record is from RNAcentral.
GUCACUGUCAAGAUUCAGCUUUAUUAAGCUCCAAAAUAAAGGUUCUGAACCCCAUAUAAUUAAAUUUUUCUGGCCGGAUCUGCAUUACACCAACCAUUUAAAACCAAGCGAAUUUUCUUAGGAAGACUCGUCAACCUAAAACGUGUGGUGAUUAUGAUAUGGCCAUACUAUCUCUACUUUGAGAAAGUUUCCCGUGAGCCUCUACAUGGGGAAGUACACGAUUAAACAAAAUAAUAAUUUUGGCUCCAAAAAGAAAUAUCAGGUCCUACAAUAUAGCCGCAUGUUGUUGCUUCAAGAUUACCCUAAUCUACAAUUUCUUAGCUGAUGACGAUGAUAUUCUGUGGACAACAAGCAAGGUGAGAUAUUCACCGAAUCGUUGCUGGGCUUGUGAACGCCCCACUCCCGAGGAAAAAAUGAAUUUCCAAUUUGGUUUGAAGCUAGUGUUUCUUAAAAAAGUUGCAGAGACAUCUUCAGCUUGUUCUGUCGCCAUUUUGCAAGCCCGUAGAAGGCCUUUCGCAUCAUUCCAAACUUCUCUUGAAACUCUUCAUCACUUAAGUAUGCCUCUCUUCUGGACACAUCUAUAUCUGUGACAGGAUCGCUUGAACCCACUAUCAAUCGUGCGUAUGGAUAUAUUAAUGAGUUUUCAGUAAAGUUACUUCUAUCAACCUGCACCAAAUUUGCGUCCUGAGGAGACCUUGCCUCUGCUUCUGGAGAACCAGCACUACCAUCAGGAGAUCCCGGAAAGAGCUUCCUCGCAAUCAGAGUUGGGCUUGAAAAAAGGUGGCUGUUUGCAGACUUGGACUUUGAGCCUGAAACACUGGAUGCACUAGAUAGAAUACUUCCCCUCCCAUUUGAACUGACAGAAUUGCUUCUCAAAUUAUCUGGAGUAGUCUCCCUAGAGAAUGCUUUCCAUGAAUUUAUUAUAGGAACUUCCAGAUUUUGCUUUUUCCCUUUCAGAAUGGCAAGCUUUCGUUCAAAUGAGUUGCCAAGCAUAUUUGCCUUUGAAGAAUCCCAUUCAAAGAAACAAGUGAAAAAUGGAGGUUCCUUCCCUUCUGUAACAACAUAAAUAGGAGUCUCCAAAGAGAGACCUUCAAUAUGAUGGACAUUCUCAAGGAAAUUCAGGCCAAGAGUAAGGGCUUGUUGCUUUGAUUUAACAUUUGCAUGACAUCCGAUCCAAACAUAGAUUUCUUUGUGACAAUUGAGUAUCAAGACAUCUUCUGUAGUUAAAUCAUCCUGAGUAAAGUUGUAUAUCUCCUUCACCUUAAAAUCACCUGAAAUCGAAUUCAACCAAGUAGCGAGAGAAUCAUUAUCCUCCAUUACAUGUAAUUUGACAACAAUUUACACCUGGGGUAAUUCAAAACCAAGGCAGAGCACUUCAUCUUUUGAGAGAAUAAAAUUUAAAAGAAAGGAUACUUUGCCUACCAUCAGCAAAUAUAAAUGCAAACAAAUGCGGAUCUUCAUUGUGUUGUUUUAUCUCCUUUUCCCUUGGAUACUCUGUUUUUCCACCAAGUGCCUCCCAGAAAACAUCAGGUUCACUCCCUUCUCGCACUGACAUAGGUUGCCAUGUUGGAUUAAUAAGCUCCAGCAUUCUAUCAAGAAGAUCAUGGUCUAUAGUGGAUGACAAAUUCCCAAUCCAAGUGAACGUAGACCUUCCAGUUUGCAGGAUGUAACAAUAGUAUGAAUUUAGAGAACUUGAAACUUGAUCAACUUGGAUGGCUUGCAUGCUACUUGGACUUGUCCCUUGAACUCGAAAAAGUGAGGUCUUUCCUUCAUCAUAAGUUUCAUCCAAAAUACCAUUUUCUGCAAUGAACCUCUUGUAUCGUUUACUCAAACCUCCCUUAAGAAUAAUUAUUGUCUGGAAAAUCAAGAAAAGUUGGAGUGGCUCCUUGUCCUGAAUAACUCGAGCCAAAACAGGAUCCCCCUUGGAUGAGUCAGCAAUAGCAUUCAUAUGGGUAAUGACAUCAGCUCUAUCUUCCAGUACACUUGCACGACCAAGCCAUGCAUAAAAUAGAUUUUCAUCCCUUCCAUCACCAGCAUAUGUAUAUUGGACAACAUAACAAUCCCCACUGAAAAGCUUUAUCUGCUCUUGAGCUGGAACAAGGAUCAACUCAUCACCAUCUACCCGCCAAACUUUUAGUUUGCCUUGGCAGUUUAUAUAGGACUGGCAGUCUUCUGCUUCAGGAAGCUCCUUCACAUCAUAACCCUGAUGCUUAAAUAUUGCUGCUACUUUUUCUCGACCUUCUUCGUACAAAUUGGGCUCCACUUGUGGCCAACUCUCAAAGAAUGACUUAAAUAUGGAAGUUUCUAGUCCUUCAGUAAGAAAUGUUAAAUGGGUUGCAGUGGACCUGCCCUGAUUUCUCAGAAAAUCUUCAAUAAAUGAAAUCGAUGUCUUCCGUUCUGUAAUAGAUGUAUUUCUACCCAUCCAUACAAAAAUCUCAGCACCACAGUCCAGCAUAUAGCACUUGUUUGAGUCAAGCAUUUCUUUGUUCAAUGAAUUACCUUCUUUCGGACAUAGUUUACCCUGUGUUGUUAUCCAGGAUAGUUGUACAGAUGAAGUAUCAUAUUCUUUCUGAACGCCAAAAGGCAAGUCCCUUGGAAUUGGAGCAUAACCACCAAACAAACUCCAAAAUUCACCAACAUCAGAAUCACCAACAAAUUUUCCAUCCUCUAUGGUUGCCACUUCACAUUUUCCCCCAUGCUUGUUCUCCUUGACAUACUGAACAACCUCCAAAGCUUUAGCUCUUUCUUGUAUACUAGAGUUGCACCCACUGAAGAGGAAAAUUUUUGAUGCAGUGUCAAGUAUGAAAACAUCAUUAUGGUUCAAGGAUGACCGAGAAAAAGGCACUUCUUUAACAGAAACAACAUGAUCGCCCUUGCAUUUUAACAUGCUAACUUUGUAUGAGUUGCUAUCUAAGUGCCCCAGCUGUGAUGAAUAUACUCCUUCAAUAGGUAUAAUACAAGGCUUGAAGUAUGACAAGAACUUCUCUGUUUCCUGGCCCUGAACCUCCCUAUACUGCACAGUGCAGGACCCUAGAGCUGUAUCUAAUUCAAGUGCUUUGUCUGAUGCCAAGGUUGAUUCCAUCUGAUUAGCAUCUUUUCCUAGCCAAUAAUGUAUGUCGUGCUGAGGAGGACCAUUUUUAAGCAAAAGAGUAUUCAAAACUAUAUACGCAUUUCCAGAAUGAAAUUUUCCAUGCAAAGACUUGGGAAGCGGAACCAACCGGAGAUUUUCCACGCACCAGAUCUCCAAACCGGGUUUUGCUCCUGCGCCGUGGAAGGCAGAGUCAAUAUCUUUAGACACGAGAGCCAUUGUUUCUCAUUGGUAAGCAAGUAUUAGAUCAUGGAUGAGCUGAGCAGUGGAGGAGAUAAAGAAAGCAAAAUCUCAGGUUAACAGUAUAGGUGAGAGAUUGAGAAUGAAUUGAAGAUAAAUUAGAUGAUUAAAGAUGUAAAAGAGGAAUUAGGAAAACGCAGAAAGCUGAAGCAAUGUGGUUUAGCACUUGAUUUGAUUGUUGAUAAUGGUAAGUGGGAACCGAAAGUGGAAGAAAUUAGAAGAAAAUGGAUUAUACAUUGGAUUGGCUUAGCUUUGCUUUGUCGGCCAGCUAAGAUGGGACCCACUUAAUUUUUGCUUUGUGACAGACUGCAAAAAAACAAAAGGGGAAUCGCGGGGGCUCCUCCCGCUCGUUUGAUUUCAACUUCGUCGGAGAAUCCUCCGACGUCGUUCGCGCAUUGACUGCUUUUCCGUCUUCUAUUCGCUCAGUCAUCGUUUU